Molecule: ribosomal RNA, 497 nt
Filed under: uncultured bacterium
Lineage: Bacteria
Description: partial 16S ribosomal RNA
Rfam family: Bacterial small subunit ribosomal RNA
Source: RNAcentral
GACGAACGCUGGCGGCGUGCCUAAUACAUGCAAGUAGAACGCUGAAGAGAGGAGCUUGCUCUUCUUGGAUGAGUUGCGAACGGGUGAGUAACGCGUAGGUAACCUGCCUUGUAGCGGGGGAUAACUAUUGGAAACGAUAGCUAAUACCGCAUAACAAUGGAUGACACAUGUCAUUUAUUUGAAAGGGGCAAUUGCUCCACUACAAGAUGGACCUGCGUUGUAUUAGCUAGUAGGUGAGGUAAUGGCUCACCUAGGCGACGAUACAUAGCCGACCUGAGAGGGUGAUCGGCCACACUGGGACUGAGACACGGCCCAGACUCCUACGGGAGGCAGCAGUAGGGAAUCUUCGGCAAUGGGGGCAACCCUGACCGAGCAACGCCGCGUGAGUGAAGAAGGUUUUCGGAUCGUAAAGCUCUGUUGUAAGUCAAGAAUGGGUGUGAGAGUGGAAAGUUCACACUGUGACGGUAGCUUACCAGAAAGGGACGGCUAACUACGUG